Molecule: ribosomal RNA, 900 nt
Filed under: uncultured archaeon
Lineage: Archaea
Description: bacterial SSU rRNA
Rfam family: Archaeal small subunit ribosomal RNA
Source: RNAcentral
GUGUCAGCCGCCGCGGUAAAACCAGCACCUCAAGUGGUCAGGAGGAUUAUUGGGCCUAAAGCAUCCGUAGCCUGUUCUAUAAGUUUCCGGUUAAAUCCAUUAGCUCAACUAAUGGGCCGCCGAAAAUACUGUAGAACUAGGGAGUGGGAGAGGUAGACGGUAUUCGGUAGGAAGGGGUAAAAUCCUUUGAUCUAUUGAGGACCACCUGUGGCGAAGGCGGUCUACCAGAACACGUUCGACGGUGAGGGAUGAAAGCUGGGGGAGCAAACCGGAUUAGAUACCCGGGUAGUCCCAGCUGUAAACGAUGCAGACUCGGUGAUGCGCUGGCUUGUGGCCAGUGCAGUGCCGCAGGGAAGCCGUUAAGUUUGCCGCCUGGGAAGUACGUACGCAAGUAUGAAACUUAAAGGAAUUGGCGGGGGAGCACCACAAGGGGUGAAGCCUGCGGUUCAAUUGGAGUCAACGCCAGAAAUCUUACCCGAAGAGACAGCAGAAUGAAGGUCAAGCUGGAGACUUUACCAGACAAGCUGAGAAGUGGUGCAUGGCCGUCGCCAGCUCGUGCCGUGAGAUGUCCUGUUAAGUCAGGUAACGAGCGAGAUCCCUGCCUCUAGUUGCCACCAUUACUCUCAGGAGUAGUGGGGCGAAUUAGCGGGACCGCCGCAGUUAAUGCGGAGGAAGGAAGGGGCCACGGCAGGUCAGUAUGCCCUGAAACUUUGGGGCCACACGCGGGCUGCAAUGGUAGCGACAAUGGGUUCCGAAUCCGAAAGGAGGAGGUAAUCCUCAAACGCUACCACAGUUAUGAUUGAGGGCUGCAACUCGCCCUCAUGAAUAUGGAAUCCCUAGUAACUGCGUGUCAUUACCGCGCAGUGAAUACGUCCCUGCUCCUUGCACACACUGCCCGUC